RNAcentral lists this long non-coding RNA (193 nucleotides) under Ictidomys tridecemlineatus (thirteen-lined ground squirrel). Its description in RNAcentral is "lncRNA (ENSSTOG00000034414.1)". The record is from RNAcentral. Lineage: Eukaryota; Metazoa; Chordata; Mammalia; Rodentia; Sciuridae.
CCUUUCCCAAGGUAUUCCAGGUCUUGCUCGUGAGAAAGCACAGAUGUGAAAAAAUUCAUCUGACUUAGGACGUUAGGUGCAAAUGCCAUAGAAACCACCCGAGUGUCACCUUCCAACUUACAGACAGACAUGAAACCUCAAGAAAUAUUCUCCUUCCACAUCCACCCCCGAGGUGAGACUUCUGGGCUGAGUC